RNAcentral lists this ribosomal RNA (503 nucleotides) under uncultured Streptococcus sp. RNAcentral's name for it is "bacterial SSU rRNA". It matches the Rfam family "Bacterial small subunit ribosomal RNA", at positions 30 to 507 of the family's 1533-position model. Lineage: Bacteria; Bacillati; Bacillota; Bacilli; Lactobacillales; Streptococcaceae. The record is from RNAcentral.
CGAACGCUGGCGGCGUGCCUAAUACAUGCAAGUAGAACGCACAGUUUAUACCGUAGCUUGCUACACCAUAGACUGUGAGUUGCGAACGGGUGAGUAACGCGUAGGUAACCUGCCUGGUAGCGGGGGAUAACUAUUGGAAACGAUAGCUAAUACCGCAUAAUAUUAAUUAUUGCAUGAUAAUUAAUUGAAAGGUGCAAUUGCACCACUACCAGAUGGACCUGCGUUGUAUUAGCUAGUAGGUGAGGUAACGGCUCACCUAGGCGACGAUACAUAGCCGACCUGAGAGGGUGAUCGGCCACACUGGGACUGAGGCACGGCCCAGACUCCUACGGGAGGCAGCAGUAGGGAAUCUUCGGCAAUGGACGAAAGUCUGACCGAGCAACGCCGCGUGAGUGAAGAAGGUUUUCGGAUCGUAAAGCUCUGUUGUAAGAGAAGAACGGGUGUGAGAGUGGAAAGUUCACACUGUGACGGUAUCUUACCAGAAAGGGACGGCUAACUACGUG